This is a long non-coding RNA of Heterocephalus glaber (naked mole-rat), 1822 nucleotides long. RefSeq lists it as uncharacterized. The record is from RefSeq and is a predicted model, not a curated record. Lineage: Eukaryota; Metazoa; Chordata; Mammalia; Rodentia; Bathyergidae.
GCGCUUCCGGCCGCUGCCCUCAGCGGACGGGUCCUGCCCACCCUCCCCAGCUGCGGGGCGCGGCCCAGUGAGCCUUCCCCGAGUUCUCGCCCGAGAAGCGAGAAGCGGCCGCUGCCUUGGCGAUCGGAAGGCGGGGCCCGCUCAGCACCGUCCAGAACUCGCCUGGGCUCUGGCAGGCCGGGGGCGAGGCCGAGACUUGGCUGGGCUGUCCCUUCCGCCGGCCUCGGCUGGCAGCUCUUCCGGCGGCGGGCGAGGCAAGCGAGCUGCUGCUUCCUCUCACCGCCUUCCCACGCCCGCUCGCACCAGCAUCUCGCGGAUGGCGGAGGCCCGGCAGGAGAGGCUGUGGCAGGUUUAACUGGGCUCUGCAGCCCCCACCUCGCCGGUGCACGGCUUCCCCAGCGCAGGUCUGGGAUGGGGAAGGAAGGGAUCUAAAUGGCAGAUGCAGAGCUCACCAGGAGCUUUAAUCUGAGAAGAUCGUAGCACUUAAUGGGAUCGGUGGACAUUGCUGGAUUAUGAUUUUUUUUUUUUUUUGGUACCGGGGGAUGGAACUCGGGUCCUUGCGCUUGCGCAGCAGGCGAUGAAACCACUGAGCGAAAUCCCCGGCCCUGGACUAUGAUUUUAACACUGGGAGAUCAAAUAAGCUUAAAAUCUGUUUGCCUCCUGAGUGCUGCGAUCACAGGUGUGGGCCACCACACCCAGCUAGUCUCUUUUCUGACACCGGAACGACCUUCGUACUUCAGCACAGGGGACUGCUGGAGGACUCAGACACCAGAGUUAGAGCUCCCGGGGUUCUGUCGCGCUGCGAGUCGGGUCACGGUGGUCACCACUGAGCUCGGAGGCCAGGACAUGCUGACUCUGGAAAACACAAUCGCCUUGGCCACCUCCCUUCCAGCUUCCUUCUAGUGUGCUGUGUCUCCAUUUUAACCAGUGAUGUGCCACGAUACUGAUACAUAAAACCCACAGGAACAAUGGCUUUUGAGUGCCUCAGCAAUUUUUAAGAAUGUAAAGAGAUUCGGAGACCGAAAGCUUGAGAACCACUACUAUAAGAAGCUGGUUUUAGGGCCAGGGAUUUAGCUCAGUGGUUUCGACGCCUGCUGCGCAAGUGCAAGGACCCGAGUUUGAUCUCCGGUACCAAAAAAAAAAAAAGUGAGUUUUACUUGGUAAUGCCAACGUGUUUGCUAAAGUGCUUGUACCAGUUCCCACCCUGGUGGCAAUGGCUCAGAGUUCCCCAUGCCCCGUAUCUAGCACACACUUGCGCUUAGCUGUCUUUGACAUUUGCCAAUCAAAGCUAGGUGUGGUGGCACACACCUGUAAUCUCAACACUCAGGAGGCUGAGGCGGGAGGAUCGCCCUAAGUUUGAGCCCAGCCUGGGCUACACGGUGAGUUCAAGGCCAGCGUGAACUACAUAGCAAGACAGUGUCUCAAAAAACAAAACAAAACCUUUUGCCAAUUGGAUGGCUGUUAUAUAGUUUGCAGUUCCCUGUUUACGAGUGAAGUUGGUUUUUCACAUGAGCCCUCUUUUGUGAAAUUCCUAUUUAUGUGUCAUGCUCUUUUCCCCGUUAAGUUUUAUGUUUCUUUUUUCCUUAUUCAUUCAUGAUUUCUUUAUAUAUUCUGGAUAUCAGUCCUGUGUCAGCAUAACAUCUCACCCAUAUUUCCUCCCAGUUUAUGUGUUGUCUUUUGUACUUGUAUUGAAUACAUGAAUCAACUUGGAGAAACUUUACAUCUUUUCAGUAAUUGUGUCUUCCCGUGAAAAAGAGUAUGUAUCCCUCCGUUUACUAGAUCUUCUUAAUAUCUCUCAAUAAACAAUAAUUUUCUCUACAAA